This 89-nucleotide transfer RNA is filed under the name Candidatus Omnitrophica bacterium CG11_big_fil_rev_8_21_14_0_20_64_10. RNAcentral's name for it is "tRNA-Ser". It matches the Rfam family "tRNA". Rfam says of the family: Transfer RNA (tRNA) molecules are approximately 80 nucleotides in length. Their secondary structure includes four short double-helical elements and three loops (D, anti-codon, and T loops). Lineage: Bacteria; Pseudomonadati; Candidatus Omnitrophota. The record is from RNAcentral.
GGAGAGGUGUCGGAGCGGUUGAACGAACGCGACUGGAAAUCGCGUAGGUUCCGAAAGGGGCCUCCAGGGUUCGAAUCCCUGCCUCUCCG